RNAcentral lists this ribosomal RNA (253 nucleotides) under uncultured bacterium. RNAcentral's name for it is "partial 16S ribosomal RNA". It matches the Rfam family "Bacterial small subunit ribosomal RNA", at positions 524 to 776 of the family's 1533-position model. The record is from RNAcentral.
UACGAAGGGGGCUAGCGUUGUUCGGAAUUACUGGGCGUAAAGCGCGCGCAGGCGGUUCUUCAAGUCAGUGGUGAAAGCCCGGAGCUCAACUCCGGAAAUGCCAUUGAAACUGUAGAACUUGAGGACGAGAGAGGUGAGUGGAAUUCCCAGUGUAGAGGUGAAAUUCGUAGAUAUUGGGAAGAACACCGGUGGCGAAGGCGGCUCACUGGCUCGUUUCUGACGCUCAGGCGCGAUAGCGUGGGGAGCAAACGGG